RNAcentral lists this ribosomal RNA (2923 nucleotides) under Klebsiella pneumoniae. RNAcentral describes it as "bacterial LSU rRNA". It matches the Rfam family "Bacterial large subunit ribosomal RNA". RNAcentral also lists the same sequence under 1 other name. The record is from RNAcentral. Lineage: Bacteria; Pseudomonadati; Pseudomonadota; Gammaproteobacteria; Enterobacterales; Enterobacteriaceae.
GGGUUGUGAGGUUAAGCGACUAAGCGUACACGGUGGAUGCCCUGGCAGUCAGAGGCGAUGAAGGACGUGCUAAUCUGCGAAAAGCGUCGGUAAGGUGAUAUGAACCGUUAUAACCGGCGAUGUCCGAAUGGGGAAACCCAGUGUGAUUCGUCACACUAUCGUUAACUGAAUACAUAGGUUAACGAGGCGAACCGGGGGAACUGAAACAUCUAAGUACCCCGAGGAAAAGAAAUCAACCGAGAUUCCCCCAGUAGCGGCGAGCGAACGGGGAGCAGCCCAGAGUCUGAAUCAGCUUGUGUGUUAGUGGAACGGUCUGGAAAGUCCGACGGUACAGGGUGAUAGUCCCGUACACCAAAAUGCACAGGUUGUGAACUCGAAGAGUAGGGCGGGACACGUGGUAUCCUGUCUGAAUAUGGGGGGACCAUCCUCCAAGGCUAAAUACUCCUGACUGACCGAUAGUGAACCAGUACCGUGAGGGAAAGGCGAAAAGAACCCCGGCGAGGGGAGUGAAAAAGAACCUGAAACCGUGUACGUACAAGCAGUGGGAGCACCUUCGGGUGUGACUGCGUACCUUUUGUAUAAUGGGUCAGCGACUUAUAUUCUGUAGCAAGGUUAACCGUAUAGGGGAGCCGCAGGGAAACCGAGUCUUAACUGGGCGUUAAGUUGCAGGGUAUAGACCCGAAACCCGGUGAUCUAGCCAUGGGCAGGUUGAAGGUUGGGUAACACUAACUGGAGGACCGAACCGACUAAUGUUGAAAAAUUAGCGGAUGACUUGUGGCUGGGGGUGAAAGGCCAAUCAAACCGGGAGAUAGCUGGUUCUCCCCGAAAGCUAUUUAGGUAGCGCCUCGUGAACUCAUCUUCGGGGGUAGAGCACUGUUUCGGCUAGGGGGUCAUCCCGACUUACCAACCCGAUGCAAACUACGAAUACCGAAGAAUGUUAUCACGGGAGACACACGGCGGGUGCUAACGUCCGUCGUGAAGAGGGAAACAACCCAGACCGCCAGCUAAGGUCCCAAAGUCAUGGUUAAGUGGGAAACGAUGUGGGAAGGCACAGACAGCCAGGAUGUUGGCUUAGAAGCAGCCAUCAUUUAAAGAAAGCGUAAUAGCUCACUGGUCGAGUCGGCCUGCGCGGAAGAUGUAACGGGGCUAAACCAUGCACCGAAGCUGCGGCAGCGACACUAUGUGUUGUUGGGUAGGGGAGCGUUCUGUAAGCCUGCGAAGGUGACCUGUGAGGGUUGCUGGAGGUAUCAGAAGUGCGAAUGCUGACAUAAGUAACGAUAAAGCGGGUGAAAAGCCCGCUCGCCGGAAGACCAAGGGUUCCUGUCCAACGUUAAUCGGGGCAGGGUGAGUCGACCCCUAAGGCGAGGCCGAAAGGCGUAGUCGAUGGGAAACAGGUUAAUAUUCCUGUACUUGGUGUUACUGCGAAGGGGGGACGGAGAAGGCUAUGUUAGCCGGGCGACGGUUGUCCCGGUUUAAGCAUGUAGGCUGGUUGUCCAGGCAAAUCCGGAUAAUCAAGGCUGAGGUGUGAUGACGAGGCACUACGGUGCUGAAGUAACAAAUGCCCUGCUUCCAGGAAAAGCCUCUAAGCAUCAGGUAACAUCAAAUCGUACCCCAAACCGACACAGGUGGUCAGGUAGAGAAUACCAAGGCGCUUGAGAGAACUCGGGUGAAGGAACUAGGCAAAAUGGUGCCGUAACUUCGGGAGAAGGCACGCUGGUGUGUAGGUGAAGUCCCUGCGGAUGGAGCUGAGACCAGUCGAAGAUACCAGCUGGCUGCAACUGUUUAUUAAAAACACAGCACUGUGCAAACACGAAAGUGGACGUAUACGGUGUGACGCCUGCCCGGUGCCGGAAGGUUAAUUGAUGGGGUUAUCCGUAAGGAGAAGCUCUUGAUCGAAGCCCCGGUAAACGGCGGCCGUAACUAUAACGGUCCUAAGGUAGCGAAAUUCCUUGUCGGGUAAGUUCCGACCUGCACGAAUGGCGUAAUGAUGGCCAGGCUGUCUCCACCCGAGACUCAGUGAAAUUGAACUCGCUGUGAAGAUGCAGUGUACCCGCGGCAAGACGGAAAGACCCCGUGAACCUUUACUAUAGCUUGACACUGAACAUUGAGCCUUGAUGUGUAGGAUAGGUGGGAGGCUUUGAAGCGUGGACGCCAGUCUGCGUGGAGCCAACCUUGAAAUACCACCCUUUAAUGUUUGAUGUUCUAACGUUGGCCCCUUACCGGGGUUGCGGACAGUGUCUGGUGGGUAGUUUGACUGGGGCGGUCUCCUCCCAAAGCGUAACGGAGGAGCACGAAGGUUAGCUAAUCCUGGUCGGACAUCAGGAGGUUAGUGCAAUGGCAUAAGCUAGCUUGACUGCGAGCGUGACGGCGCGAGCAGGUGCGAAAGCAGGUCAUAGUGAUCCGGUGGUUCUGAAUGGAAGGGCCAUCGCUCAACGGAUAAAAGGUACUCCGGGGAUAACAGGCUGAUACCGCCCAAGAGUUCAUAUCGACGGCGGUGUUUGGCACCUCGAUGUCGGCUCAUCACAUCCUGGGGCUGAAGUAGGUCCCAAGGGUAUGGCUGUUCGCCAUUUAAAGUGGUACGCGAGCUGGGUUUAGAACGUCGUGAGACAGUUCGGUCCCUAUCUGCCGUGGGCGCUGGAGAAUUGAGGGGGGCUGCUCCUAGUACGAGAGGACCGGAGUGGACGCAUCACUGGUGUUCGGGUUGUCAUGCCAAUGGCACUGCCCGGUAGCUAAAUGCGGAAGAGAUAAGUGCUGAAAGCAUCUAAGCACGAAACUUGCCCCGAGAUGAGUUCUCCCUGAGACUUUAAGUCUCCUGAAGGAACGUUAAAGACGAUGACGUUGAUAGGCCGGGUGUGUAAGCGCAGCGAUGCGUUGAGCUAACCGGUACUAAUGAACCGUGAGGCUUAACCUUACAACGCCGAAG